This 2926-nucleotide ribosomal RNA is filed under the name Escherichia coli 5.0588. Its description in RNAcentral is "bacterial LSU rRNA". It matches the Rfam family "Bacterial large subunit ribosomal RNA". The record is from RNAcentral. Lineage: Bacteria; Pseudomonadati; Pseudomonadota; Gammaproteobacteria; Enterobacterales; Enterobacteriaceae.
GAAACAUCUUCGGGUUGUGAGGUUAAGCGACUAAGCGUACACGGUGGAUGCCCUGGCAGCCAGAGGCGAUGAAGGACGUGCUAAUCUGCGAUAAGCGUCGGUAAGGUGAUAUGAACCGUUAUAACCGGCGAUUUCCGAAUGGGGAAACCCAGUGUGAUUCGUCACACUAUCAUUAACUGAAUCCAUAGGUUAAUGAGGCGAACCGGGGGAACUGAAACAUCUAAGUACCCCGAGGAAAAGAAAUCAACCGAGAUUCCCCCAGUAGCGGCGAGCGAACGGGGAGGAGCCCAGAGCCUGAAUCAGUGUGUGUGUUAGUGGAAGCGUCUGGAAAGGCGCGCGAUACAGGGUGACAGCCCCGUACACAAAAAUGCACAUGCUGUGAGCUCGAUGAGUAGGGCGGGACACGUGGUAUCCUGUCUGAAUAUGGGGGGACCAUCCUCCAAGGCUAAAUACUCCUGACUGACCGAUAGUGAACCAGUACCGUGAGGGAAAGGCGAAAAGAACCCCGGCGAGGGGAGUGAAAAAGAACCUGAAACCGUGUACGUACAAGCAGUGGGAGCACAGAGCAAUCUGUGUGACUGCGUACCUUUUGUAUAAUGGGUCAGCGACUUAUAUUCUGUAGCAAGGUUAACCGAAUAGGGGAGCCGAAGGGAAACCGAGUCUUAACUGGGCGUUAAGUUGCAGGGUAUAGACCCGAAACCCGGUGAUCUAGCCAUGGGCAGGUUGAAGGUUGGGUAACACUAACUGGAGGACCGAACCGACUAAUGUUGAAAAAUUAGCGGAUGACUUGUGGCUGGGGGUGAAAGGCCAAUCAAACCGGGAGAUAGCUGGUUCUCCCCGAAAGCUAUUUAGGUAGCGCCUCGUGAAUUCAUCUCCGGGGGUAGAGCACUGUUUCGGCAAGGGGGUCAUCCCGACUUACCAACCCGAUGCAAACUGCGAAUACCGGAGAAUGUUAUCACGGGAGACACACGGCGGGUGCUAACGUCCGUCGUGAAGAGGGAAACAACCCAGACCGCCAGCUAAGGUCCCAAAGUCAUGGUUAAGUGGGAAACGAUGUGGGAAGGCCCAGACAGCCAGGAUGUUGGCUUAGAAGCAGCCAUCAUUUAAAGAAAGCGUAAUAGCUCACUGGUCGAGUCGGCCUGCGCGGAAGAUGUAACGGGGCUAAACCAUGCACCGAAGCUGCGGCAGCGACGCUGAUGCGUUGUUGGGUAGGGGAGCGUUCUGUAAGCCUGCGAAGGUGUGCUGUGAGGCAUGCUGGAGGUAUCAGAAGUGCGAAUGCUGACAUAAGUAACGAUAAAGCGGGUGAAAAGCCCGCUCGCCGGAAGACCAAGGGUUCCUGUCCAACGUUAAUCGGGGCAGGGUGAGUCGACCCCUAAGGCGAGGCCGAAAGGCGUAGUCGAUGGGAAACAGGUUAAUAUUCCUGUACUUGGUGUUACUGCGAAGGGGGGACGGAGAAGGCUAUGUUGGCCGGGCGACGGUUGUCCCGGUUUAAGCGUGUAGGCUGGUUUUCCAGGCAAAUCCGGAAAAUCAAGGCUGAGGCGUGAUGACGAGGCACUACGGUGCUGAAGCAACAAAUGCCCUGCUUCCAGGAAAAGCCUCUAAGCAUCAGGUAACAUCAAAUCGUACCCCAAACCGACACAGGUGGUCAGGUAGAGAAUACCAAGGCGCUUGAGAGAACUCGGGUGAAGGAACUAGGCAAAAUGGUGCCGUAACUUCGGGAGAAGGCACGCUGAUAUGUAGGUGAAGCGACUUGCUCGUGGAGCUGAAAUCAGUCGAAGAUACCAGCUGGCUGCAACUGUUUAUUAAAAACACAGCACUGUGCAAACACGAAAGUGGACGUAUACGGUGUGACGCCUGCCCGGUGCCGGAAGGUUAAUUGAUGGGGUUAGCGCAAGCGAAGCUCUUGAUCGAAGCCCCGGUAAACGGCGGCCGUAACUAUAACGGUCCUAAGGUAGCGAAAUUCCUUGUCGGGUAAGUUCCGACCUGCACGAAUGGCGUAAUGAUGGCCAGGCUGUCUCCACCCGAGACUCAGUGAAAUUGAACUCGCUGUGAAGAUGCAGUGUACCCGCGGCAAGACGGAAAGACCCCGUGAACCUUUACUAUAGCUUGACACUGAACAUUGAGCCUUGAUGUGUAGGAUAGGUGGGAGGCUUUGAAGUGUGGACGCCAGUCUGCAUGGAGCCGACCUUGAAAUACCACCCUUUAAUGUUUGAUGUUCUAACGUGGACCCGUAAUCCGGGUUGCGGACAGUGUCUGGUGGGUAGUUUGACUGGGGCGGUCUCCUCCUAAAGAGUAACGGAGGAGCACGAAGGUUGGCUAAUCCUGGUCGGACAUCAGGAGGUUAGUGCAAUGGCAUAAGCCAGCUUGACUGCGAGCGUGACGGCGCGAGCAGGUGCGAAAGCAGGUCAUAGUGAUCCGGUGGUUCUGAAUGGAAGGGCCAUCGCUCAACGGAUAAAAGGUACUCCGGGGAUAACAGGCUGAUACCGCCCAAGAGUUCAUAUCGACGGCGGUGUUUGGCACCUCGAUGUCGGCUCAUCACAUCCUGGGGCUGAAGUAGGUCCCAAGGGUAUGGCUGUUCGCCAUUUAAAGUGGUACGCGAGCUGGGUUUAGAACGUCGUGAGACAGUUCGGUCCCUAUCUGCCGUGGGCGCUGGAGAAUUGAGGGGGGCUGCUCCUAGUACGAGAGGACCGGAGUGGACGCAUCACUGGUGUUCGGGUUGUCAUGCCAAUGGCACUGCCCGGUAGCUAAAUGCGGAAGAGAUAAGUGCUGAAAGCAUCUAAGCACGAAACUUGCCCCGAGAUGAGUUCUCCCUGACUCCUUGAGAGUCCUGAAGGAACGUUGAAGACGACGACGUUGAUAGGCCGGGUGUGUAAGCGCAGCGAUGCGUUGAGCUAACCGGUACUAAUGAACCGUGAGGCUUAACCUU